RNAcentral lists this transfer RNA (73 nucleotides) under Diacronema viridis. Its description in RNAcentral is "tRNA-Val". It matches the Rfam family "tRNA". Rfam says of the family: Transfer RNA (tRNA) molecules are approximately 80 nucleotides in length. Their secondary structure includes four short double-helical elements and three loops (D, anti-codon, and T loops). The record is from RNAcentral. Lineage: Eukaryota; Haptophyta; Pavlovophyceae; Pavlovales; Pavlovaceae.
UGGUAAUUAACUCAGUUGGUAGAGUAUUUCGCUUACAACGAAAAGGUCAAAGGUUCGAAUCCUUUAUUACCAA